CCGCAAGCCCGAUAUCUCAUUGUCUCUCCCUCUCUUCCUCGCUCGCUCGAUCACUCUCCAUCGCCUUAUCUGAUGGACCCGGCCUGCGAUCUCCCCUGCGACGGCGAUGGCGUCUGCAUGGUCUGCAAGGCGACGCCGCUGGAGGCGGAGUUGAUGCUCUGCCGGACCUGCGCCGCCCUAUGGCACGCCCCCUGCCUCGGCCGACGGCCGGAGGCCCUGGCCUCCGUCGCCGAUUGGGAGUGCCCCGACUGCUCCCCGUCGGCCACUACCUCGGUCCCCGCCCCCGCCCGCCGGCGCCUUGUCCGCGCCUCCGGCGAUCUGAUCGCCUCCAUCCGGGCCAUCGAGGCCGAUACAUCGCUGACCGAGGAGGAGAAGGUGAGGCGGCGGCGCGGCGCAGGCCGUCGAUGAGGAGGAGAAGGAAAACAAGAAGAAAGCCGAAGGAGAGGACGACGACGUGCUCGAUCUCUUCGAUGAGAAGUUCAAAUGUGCCUUCUGCAUGCAGUUGCCGGAGAGACUGAUCACUGGUGGUGGCUGAGAUUAAUGCUGAGAAGAAACAAAAAUCUCAAAAGGCAAAGAAUAAAGCAUCAACUGAAGCUAGGAAGCAUCUUAGCAGACAACGGAACCUUGUGUAUAUAAUUGGACUACCUUCUAAUUUAUGGGAUGAAAGCAUGCAGAAGUUGAAUCGGGUACCUACAUUGGAUGAGCUUUUCAGACAUACUCAUCAAAAGAAAAAGGAUGGCAAUCAGUGGGUGAACAAGAGGGUAGAAACAACAUAUACUAAUUUUACAUGGAAGUGGCAAGAGAUGCAAUCAAGUUAGAGCUUGAUUGGGGAGGAUGGUGUCGAAUCAUAGCAACAAGUUUUUCAUAGGAUGAUGAUGAUUCGGAGGAUGGUCAUUUAUGAUUUUUUUUUGCUACGAUUGGGAUGAUAAUACUUGUCAUUUUUUUUUGUUAUGGAUUUGGAUAUGAUGAGGAUGAUAAUACUUGUGGAUAUAUUUUUUUGAUUAUGGAUAUGAUGAGGAUGAUGAUAUUUGUGGAACUUUUUUUAUUUAUGGACUUGGAUAUAUGAGAAAGAUGAUAUUUGUGAUUAUUAUAAU
Elaeis guineensis (African oil palm) is the source of this 1094-nucleotide non-coding RNA. Lineage: Eukaryota; Viridiplantae; Streptophyta; Magnoliopsida; Arecales; Arecaceae. The record is from RefSeq and is a predicted model, not a curated record.